Long non-coding RNA from Ananas comosus (pineapple), 1013 nucleotides. RefSeq lists it as uncharacterized. The record is from RefSeq and is a predicted model, not a curated record. NCBI's taxonomy places the organism in Eukaryota, Viridiplantae, Streptophyta, Magnoliopsida, Poales, Bromeliaceae. The transcript has 4 exons.
CUUUGCUCUAUCUUUUAUUCCUCUGCGACACAUUCUGCGUCGAGUUCGGCGAUGAUUACAAGGCGAGGUUAGGGAUACCAACAAAAUUCAGAUGCGUCGUUUUAGUGCUACUCUAUGGGUGAAGAAGGUGCAUUCAAAAACUAAACUGCAGUUAAUGAGGGAGGUUGCCGACAAAGUUGAUGCACAUCUUGAGCUUGCUCUUGCCCUCACAUGCGAGCUCCAAAUGCAUCUCCAUAGUCAUGGCGUUCGCGAUCUAUUGUAGCUUUCCAAUCAGCGUGGCGCACUGCUUCUUGAGCUCCCUCACUAUUGCCACCGCCCUCAAUCUGUGGACCUCUUUCUUUUUUGUGACAUGUUUAUUUAAUGAGCAUGAUUUGUUGAUUACUUUUCUUCUUUGUUUUCGUUCAAAGGUGUUGAGUAAGAUUCAGGAGGAGUUGAAGACAUGUAGGAAGGAACUGCAUGCGUCAAAAGAAACCUUUAAGAAGCUGCUGAUGGAAAAAUCUCUGCUUGAACAGAAGGUCCAAAGGCUUGAGAGAAUGACAAAUGAAGAGAAAAGUUCAAUGGAAAAAUUUUAUGAGGAGAAUCGGAAACUUAGAGUGUAGAAAGCAGAACUGGAGCAGAAGUUGGAGAGCACCUCACAAGCCUUAACAGCAGCUGAAUCUAGGCUUACGCUGAGAAAUGCUGAACUAGAUACGUUGCAGAACAGUGUAAAAGAACUUGAAGAAUUGCGAGAAUUUAAAGCAGACAUUGAUAGGAAGAAUGAGCAAACAGCUACAAUUUUACAGAAGCAAGGUGCUCAGUUGGCUGAAUUAGAAGCACUCUAUAGGGAGGAGCAAAUUUUGCGAAAACGAUACUAUAAUACAAUUGAAGGUUUCCUCUCUAUUUCCCAGUGCCGCACCACCACCUCACAACCACUGCACAUGCCAUCGUCAUCCCCACCACCACCUUUCCCAUCUUCUCUGAUUGGGGGAAAAAAUAAAAAUUGUAUACUAUACUUUGUACUUGAAAUGGUUGCU